AUUAGGUAGUAGGCGGGGUAGAGGCCCACCUAGCCGACGAUGGGUAGCCGGACUGAGAGGUCGAUCGGCCACAUUGGGACUGAGAUACGGCCCAGACUCCUACGGGAGGCAGCAGUGGGGAAUUUUGCGCAAUGGGGGAAACCCUGACGCAGCAACGCCGCGUGCGGGACGAAGGCCCUCGGGUCGUAAACCGCUUUCAGCAGGGAAGACUUUACGACGGUACCUGCAGAAGAAGCUCCGGCUAACUACGUGCCAGCAGCCGCGGUAAUACGUAGGGGGCGAGCGUUAUCCGGAUUCAUUGGGCGUAAAGCGCGCGUAGGCGGCCGCCUAAGCGGAACCUCUAACCCCGGGGCUCAACCUCGGGCCGGGUUCCGGACUGGGCGGCUCGAGUGCGGUAGAGGAGAGCGGAAUUCCCGGUGUAGCGGUGGAAUGCGCAGAUAUCGGGAAGAACACCGAUGGCGAAGGCAGCUCUCUGGGCCGUCACUGACGCUGAGGCGCGAAAGCUGGGGGAGCGAACAGGAUUAGAUACCCUGGUAGUCCCAGCCGUAAACGAUG
RNAcentral lists this ribosomal RNA (555 nucleotides) under uncultured bacterium. RNAcentral describes it as "bacterial SSU rRNA". It matches the Rfam family "Bacterial small subunit ribosomal RNA", at positions 240 to 811 of the family's 1533-position model. The record is from RNAcentral.